AAACAGAGGGAUUAGCUGCAGUCCUGCUGACUCUAGGAACGGGGGGAAAGAAGAUAUAACUUCGAGCUGCAUGCAAAGAUCAGCAACCAAUGAAGGCACAAUUCUGGCAAUAAAGGGCAUUUCAAAGAAAAAACAAACAAUGAACCGCCAGAAUUAUUUGACAGCUCCUGGUGGCGAGGAAGACCCCUAAGUUUUCUUGGAAAGAAGUAGACUGUGAGCUGACAUUGGGAGAGUUCUCCUGGUUUCCUUUGUG
Long non-coding RNA from Lepidothrix coronata (blue-crowned manakin), 253 nucleotides. RefSeq lists it as uncharacterized. The record is from RefSeq and is a predicted model, not a curated record. Lineage: Eukaryota; Metazoa; Chordata; Aves; Passeriformes; Pipridae. The transcript has 3 exons.